Molecule: ribosomal RNA, 253 nt
Filed under: uncultured bacterium
Lineage: Bacteria
Description: partial 16S ribosomal RNA
Rfam family: Bacterial small subunit ribosomal RNA
Source: RNAcentral
UACGGAGGGUGCAAGCGUUGCUCGGAAUUAUUGGGCGUAAAGGGUAGGUAGGUGGUCUCAUUUGUCUGGGGUGAAAGCCUUGAGCUUAACUCAAGAAGUGCCUCAGAAACGGUGAGACUAGAGUCCUAGAGAGGGUCGUGGAAUUCCCGGUGUAGCGGUGAAAUGCGUAGAGAUCGGGAGGAACACCAGAGGCGAAGGCGGCGACCUGGACCAUAACUGACGCUGAUGCGCGAAAGCUAGGGGAGCAAACAGG